This 446-nucleotide ribosomal RNA is filed under the name uncultured bacterium. RNAcentral describes it as "bacterial SSU rRNA". It matches the Rfam family "Bacterial small subunit ribosomal RNA", at positions 331 to 792 of the family's 1533-position model. The record is from RNAcentral.
CCAGACUCCUACGGGAGGCAGCAGUGGGGAAUAUUGCACAAUGGGGGAAACCCUGAUGCAGCGACGCCGCGUGGGCGAAGAAGUAUUUCGGUAUGUAAAGCCCUAUCAGCAGGGAAGAAGAAAUGACGGUACCUGAGUAAGAAGCACCGGCUAAAUACGUGCCAGCAGCCGCGGUAAUACGUAGGUGGCAAGCGUUAUCCGGAUUUACUGGGUGUAAAGGGCGUGUAGGCGGGAAAGCAAGUCAGAUGUGAAAACCAUGGGCUCAACCUGUGGCCCGCAUUUGAAACUGUUUUUCUUGAGUACUGGAGAGGCAGACGGAAUUCCUAGUGUAGCGGUGAAAUGCGUAGAUAUCAGGAGGAACACCGGCGGCGAAGGCGGCCUGCUGGACCGUGACUGACGUUGAGGCUCGAGAGCGUGGGGAGCAAACAGGAUUAGAUACCCUAGUA